GAUGAACGCUGGCGGCGUGCCUAAUACAUGCAAGUCGAACGAAACUUCUUUAUCACCGAGUGCUUGCACUCACCGAUAAAGAGUUGAGUGGCGAACGGGUGAGUAACACGUGGGCAACCUGCCCAAAAGAGGGGGAUAACACUUGGAAACAGGUGCUAAUACCGCAUAACCAUAGUUACCGCAUGGUAACUAUGUAAAAGGUGGCUAUACUACCGCUUUUGGAUGGGCCCGCGGCGCAUUAGCUAGUUGGUAGGGUAAAGGCUUACCAAGGCAAUGAUGCGUAGCCGAAUUGAGAGGUUGAUCGGCCACAUUGGGACUGAGACACGGCCCAAACUCCUACGGGAGGCAGCAGUAGGGAAUCUUCCACAAUGGGCGAAAGCCUGAUGGAGCAACGCCGCGUGGGUGAAGAAGGUCUUCGGAUCGUAAAACCCUGUUGUUAGAGAAGAAAGUGCGUGAGAGUAACUGUUCACAUUUCGACGGUAUCUAACCAGAAAGCCACGGCUAACUACGUG
This 512-nucleotide ribosomal RNA is filed under the name uncultured bacterium. RNAcentral's name for it is "partial 16S ribosomal RNA". It matches the Rfam family "Bacterial small subunit ribosomal RNA", at positions 28 to 507 of the family's 1533-position model. The record is from RNAcentral.